Molecule: ribosomal RNA, 468 nt
Filed under: uncultured bacterium
Lineage: Bacteria
Description: partial 16S ribosomal RNA
Rfam family: Bacterial small subunit ribosomal RNA
Source: RNAcentral
GACGAACGCUGGCGGCGUGCUUAACACAUGCAAGUCGAACGGAAAGGCCCUGCGUUUGUGGGGUGCUCGAGUGGCGAACGGGUGAGUAACACGUGAGUAACCUGCCCUUGACUUUGGGAUAACUUCAGGAAACUGGGGCUAAUACCGGAUAGGAGCUCCUGCUGCAUGGUGGGGGUUGGAAAGUUUCGGCGGUCGGGGAUGGAUUCGCGGCUUAUCAGCUUGUUGGUGGGGUAGUGGCUUACCAAGGCUUUGACGGGUAGCCGGCCUGAGAGGGUGACCGGGGACAAUAGGACUGAGAUAGGGAGCAGACUCCUAUGGGAGGCAGCAGGGGGGAGUAUUGCACAAUGGGAGGACGCCUGAUGCGAGGACGCCGCGUGCGGGAUGACGGCCUGCGGGUUGUGAACCGCUUUAGGCUGUGACGAAGCGGGUGUGACGGUAAUGGGUAAAGAAGCACCGGCUAACUACGUG